AGCUCCAAUAGCGUAUAUUAAAGUUGUUGUAGUUACAAAGCUUGUAGUUGAACUUGUGGCCUGGAUGGCUCGGUCUGACGCUUAUGUGUGAGUACCUGAGCCAUCCAACCAUCCUUGGGUGGAAUCUGUGUGGCAUUAAGUUGCCGUGUAGGGGAUGUCCAUCGUUUACUGUGAAAAAUUAGAGUGUUCAAAGCAGGCAUAUGCCUUUGAAUAUAUUAGCAUGGAAUAAUGAUAUAAGACUUUGGUACUGUUUUGUUGGUUUGUGCACUAAAGUAAUGAUUAAUAGGGACAGUUGGGGAUAUUAGUAUUUUAGGUCAGAGGUGAAAUUCUUGGAUUCUUUAAAAACUAACUACUGUGAAAGCAUUUAUCAAGGAUGUUUUCA
This 382-nucleotide ribosomal RNA is filed under the name uncultured eukaryote. RNAcentral's name for it is "SSU rRNA". It matches the Rfam family "Eukaryotic small subunit ribosomal RNA", at positions 587 to 972 of the family's 1831-position model. The record is from RNAcentral.